GAUGAAGAACGCAGCGAAAUGCGAUAAGUAAUGUGAAUUGCAGAAUUCAGUGAAUCAUCGAAUCUUUGAACGCACAUUGCGCCCGCCAGUAUUCUGGCGGGCAUGCCUGUUCGAGCGUCAUUUCAACCAUCAAGCCCCAGGCUUGUGUUGGAGCCCUGCGGCUGCCGCAGCCUCCCAAAACCAGUGGCGGGCUCGCUAUCACACCGAGUGCAGUAGUUUACUCUUCGCUCAGGGCGUGUGGCGGGUGCUAGCCGUAAAACCCCCAACUUCUCAAGGUUGACCUCGGAUCAGGUAGGGAUACCCGCUGAACUUAAGCAUAUCAAUAAGCGGAGGA
This 334-nucleotide unclassified non-coding RNA is filed under the name soil metagenome. Its description in RNAcentral is "partial contains 5.8S ribosomal RNA, internal transcribed spacer 2, and large subunit ribosomal RNA". The stretch from base 1 to 120 matches the Rfam family "5.8S ribosomal RNA", at positions 35 to 154 of the family's 154-position model. The record is from RNAcentral.